GCUGCUCGGAUAAUCACACACCUCUUCGUGGUGAGCAGCAGGCAACGAUCUGUGAUCGGCAGAGAUGUGAUG
RNAcentral lists this ribozyme (72 nucleotides) under unclassified sequences. RNAcentral's name for it is "HDV ribozyme from F. prausnitzii". It matches the Rfam family "HDV ribozyme from F. prausnitzii". The record is from RNAcentral.